GUCUAUGGCCAUACCACCUGAACGCUCCUGAUCUCAGAAGCUAAGCAGGGUUGGGCCUGAUUAGUACUUGGAUGGGAGACAGACAUUUAUUUUACCAAGUAAUUUGAUGUCCACAGUGU
Mesocricetus auratus (golden hamster) is the source of this 119-nucleotide ribosomal RNA. Lineage: Eukaryota; Metazoa; Chordata; Mammalia; Rodentia; Cricetidae. The record is from Ensembl.